RNAcentral lists this ribosomal RNA (961 nucleotides) under Apilactobacillus kunkeei. RNAcentral describes it as "bacterial SSU rRNA". It matches the Rfam family "Bacterial small subunit ribosomal RNA", at positions 543 to 1505 of the family's 1533-position model. The record is from RNAcentral. Lineage: Bacteria; Bacillati; Bacillota; Bacilli; Lactobacillales; Lactobacillaceae.
UGUCGUGAUUAUUGGGCGUAAAGCGAGCGCAGGCGGUUUUGUAAGUCUGCUGUGAAAGCCCUCAGCUCAACUGAGGAAGUGCAGUGGAAACUACAAAACUUGAGUACAGAAGAGGAAAGUGGAACUCCAUGUGUAGCGGUGAAAUGCGUAGAUAUAUGGAAGAACACCAGUGGCGAAGGCGGCCUUCUGGUCUGUUACUGACGCUGAGGCUCAAAGACGUGGGUAACGAACAGGAUUAGAUACCCUGGUAGUCCAUGCCGCAAACGAUGAAUACUAGGUGUUGGAGGGUUUCCGCCCUUCAGUGCCGCAGCUAACGCAUUAAGUAUUCCGCCAGGGGAGUACGACCGCAAGGUUGAAACUCAAAGGAAUUGACGGGGGCCCGCACAAGCGGUGGAGCAUGUGGUUUAAUUCGAUGCUACGCGAAGAACCUUACCAGCUCUUGACAUCUUCUGCCAACCCAAGAGAUUGGGCGUUCCCUUCGGGGACAGAAUGACAGGUGGUGCAUGGUUGUCGUCAGCUCGUGUCGUGAGAUGUUGGGUUAAGUCCCGCAACGAGCGCAACCCUUAUUAUUAGUUGCCAGCAUUUAGUUGGGCACUCUAGUGAGACUGCCGGUGAUAAACCGGAGGAAGGUGGGGACGACGUCAAAUCAUCAUGCCCCUUAUGAGCUGGGCUACACACGUGCUACAAUGGAUGGUACAACGAGUCGCGAAACCGCGAGGUCAAGCUAAUCUCUUAAAGCCAUUCUCAGUUCGGAUUGCAGGCUGCAACUCGCCUGCAUGAAGUUGGAAUCACUAGUAAUCGUGGAUCAGCAUGCCACGGUGAAUACGUUCCCGGGCCUUGUACACACCGCCCGUCACACCAUGAGAGUUUGUAUCACCCAAAGACGAUGGGGUAACCUUUUAGGAGCUAGUCGUCUAAGGUGGGACAGAUGAUUAGGUGAAGUCGUACUAGGUAGCCGUAA